CCUACGGGUGGCAGCAGUGGGGAAUAUUGGACAAUGGGCGAAAGCCUGAUCCAGCCAUGCCGCGUGUGUGAAGAAGGCCUUCGGGUUGUAAAGCACUUUCAGUGGGGAAGAAAGCCUUGGGGCUAAUACCCUCGAGGAAGGACAUCACCCACAGAAGAAGCACCGGCUAACUCCGUGCCAGCAGCCGCGGUAAUACGGAGGGUGCGAGCGUUAAUCGGAAUUACUGGGCGUAAAGCGCGCGCAGGCGGUCUGAUAAGCCGGUUGUGAAAGCCCCGGGCUCAACCUGGGAACGGCAUCCGGAACUGUCAGGCUAGAGUGCAGGAGAGGAAGGUAGAAUUCCCGGUGUAGCGGUGAAAUGCGUAGAGAUCGGGAGGAAUACCAGUGGCGAAGGCGGCCUUCUGGACUGACACUGACGCUGAGGUGCGAAAGCGUGGGUAGCAAACAGGAUUAGAUACCCCGGUAGUC
RNAcentral lists this ribosomal RNA (465 nucleotides) under Vreelandella stevensii. RNAcentral describes it as "partial 16S ribosomal RNA". It matches the Rfam family "Bacterial small subunit ribosomal RNA", at positions 338 to 795 of the family's 1533-position model. The record is from RNAcentral. Lineage: Bacteria; Pseudomonadati; Pseudomonadota; Gammaproteobacteria; Oceanospirillales; Halomonadaceae.